This 1009-nucleotide long non-coding RNA is filed under the name Bemisia tabaci. RNAcentral describes it as "lncRNA ENSASIAIIG006954". Lineage: Eukaryota; Metazoa; Arthropoda; Insecta; Hemiptera; Aleyrodidae. The record is from RNAcentral.
UUGUAGUUUUAACAAAAAUUAAAAUCUACAUACUACUGUUCAGAAAACUUUUUUUUGAUUGGUAGCAUUAUAAAAAGUGAUGAAGAGCGUAGUCAAGGGUCUUUCUCUACAUAUGGAAAAUUAGAAAAAUAAAACUGGAGUACCUACCGAGAACAACAACCCUGACUUCAGCGGUAUCUGAUCCGUAUUGAUUUUUGGCUGUGAGUGUAUAGGUUCCAGAGUCACUUCUCUUGGAGUCGAUAACUUUGAGUCGCGUGCUAUAGUCUUCAUUUGAGACUUUGAUGCGGUCUGUAUUGAGCACGAUGUUUUCUUUGAGAUACCAUUCCUUCCUUGGAGGCGGCUCACCACUUACCGCAACAUCAUACUCGAAGUUCUGGCCAGCCUUGAUCUUAACAGUGGUCAAAUUGGUCCUAUCAAUGUAUGGUGCUGAAUUCCUUGACUUGGCUGUAAUGGUCGGAGUCGGGUCACUGGCUUCUCCGGGCCCAGCGGCAUUGAUUGCGCGAACCUGGAAGACAUAGCCUUCACCCUCCUUGAGCCCUGGAACGGUGACAUUAGUGAUGCUUGCUGGCACAGUGGCCACCUUCUCCCAUUCUCCAGUCUUGUCUUUCAUCUCGACGACGUAACCUGUCACAGGCGAGCCACCGUCGGACUUUGGAGGCAUCCAUUUCAGAUCUACGUGGUCUUUGUCCCAGUCGGUUGCCUCUAGGUUGCGUGGCUUUUCCGGCUCAUCUGUAUGCAGAAAAUAGUCAGGUUACAGAAAGUGGGACCAAGAGGGAAGUACAAGGAUGAUGUAAUACAUGGCAUUCAUUAAGGUUACAUUUUCAAGGUAAAAAAUAAAAAUUAUAAAUGAAAAGCCUUUAAAAGUGUGAGGAGUUUAAAGAGAGCAAGAUAACUGUAUUUAAACAUACAUCCUCAUACCUCUUUCAUGAAAUAAUGUUCCAUUUUUAAAAGACAAAACUUUUGUGAUUAGGAAGUUUUGGGAAAAGUGUUCCUGAUUGUGAGACUUGUA